Molecule: long non-coding RNA, 215 nt
Filed under: Coffea arabica (coffee)
Lineage: Eukaryota; Viridiplantae; Streptophyta; Magnoliopsida; Gentianales; Rubiaceae
Description: long non-coding RNA (CARA_LNC001294)
Source: RNAcentral
GGUACCAAAUUUUUGUUCUUGAACUCUUGAGUAGGUGAAUCUGGUGAACAUCAUUAGGGAAUCAAAAUAGUUUGUAGACAGUUGAUACUCAAGACAUAUGACCAGUGAUCCAUCACAUUUCAUCAAAUUCAAGCCAAAAUCAAGUGGCAAAGUAACAUUUGAAAAUGAUAUAAAAGCAAAAAAUUAGAGUAAGAGAUGUUGGAAAGAAUGAUCAA